RNAcentral lists this ribosomal RNA (253 nucleotides) under uncultured bacterium. RNAcentral's name for it is "partial 16S ribosomal RNA". It matches the Rfam family "Bacterial small subunit ribosomal RNA", at positions 524 to 776 of the family's 1533-position model. The record is from RNAcentral.
UACGGGGGGGGCAAGCGUUGUUCGGAAUUACUGGGCGUAAAGGGCUCGUAGGCGGCCAACUAAGUCAGAUGUGAAAGCCCCGGGCUCAACUUGGGAACUGCAUUUGAUACUGUCAGACUAGAGUACAGAAGAGGUGACUGGAAUUCCCAGUGUAGCGGUGAAAUGCGUAGAUAUUGGGAGGAACACCAGAUGCGAAGGCGGGUCACUGGGCUGAUACUGACGCUGAAGUGCGAAAGCCAGGGGAGCGAACGGG